This 405-nucleotide ribosomal RNA is filed under the name Centruroides limpidus limpidus. Its description in RNAcentral is "partial 16S ribosomal RNA". The record is from RNAcentral. Lineage: Eukaryota; Metazoa; Arthropoda; Arachnida; Scorpiones; Buthidae.
GAGCCCUUUGGGUCGNCAGACCCCCUUUUAUUCCUCUUGCGGAAUAAUGGAAAUCUAAUCCAACAUCGAGGUCGCAAACAUAUUCGUCAAUUUGAACUUUCAAAAUACAUUACGCUGUUAUCCCUAAAGUAACUUAUUUAAUCUUCAAAAUUUUUGGGUAUUAAAAUAAUGAUAUUUUAAUAUUAUAGAGGUGUUUAAUCCUCUCACCGCCCCAGUGAAACAUAAUUUUAAUUUAUUAAAUUAUUUUAUGUAAAGCUUUAUAGGGUCUUCUUGUCUAAAAGAAGCAUUUUAGCCUUUUUACUAAAAGGUAAAAUUUAAAAGAAAAAAUUAAGAAAGAAGCUCUCUAGUUUACCCUUUCAUUCCAGUCUUAAAUUAUAAGACUAAUGAUUAUGCUACCUUUGCACA